UGGUAAUUUGUGCCUUGGCUGGUUC
Molecule: non-coding RNA, 25 nt
Filed under: Mus musculus (house mouse)
Lineage: Eukaryota; Metazoa; Chordata; Mammalia; Rodentia; Muridae
Source: RNAcentral